AGAGUUUGAUCCUGGCUCAGAUUGAACGCUGGCGGCAUGCUUUACACAUGCAAGUCGAACGGCAGCAUGCUCUUCGGAGUGAUGGCGAGUGGCGGACGGGUGAGUAAUGCAUCGGGACGUGUCUAGAAGAGGGGGAUAACUAUUCGAAAGAAUAGCUAAUACCGCAUACUGUCUGAGGAAGAAAGCUGGGGACCGCGAGGCCUGGCGCUUUUAGGGCGACCGAUGUCUGAUUAGCUAGUUGGUGAGGUAAAGGCUCACCAAGGCGACGAUCAGUAGCUGGUCUGAGAGGACGACCAGCCACACUGGGACUGAGAAACGGCCCAGACUCCUACGGGAGGCAGCAGUGGGGAAUUUUGGACAAUGGGGGCAACCCUGAUCCAGCAAUGCCGCGUGUCUGAAGAAGGCCUUCGGGUUGUAAAGGACUUUUGUUGGGGAGCAAGAUGGGCAUGUUAAGAGCUAGCCUAUUUGAGAGUACCCAAAGAAUAAGGACCGGCUAACUACGUGCCAGCAGCCGCGGUAAUACGUAGGGUCCAAGCGUUAAUCGGAAUUACUGGGCGUAAAGAGUGCGCAGGCGGCAUUAUAAGCUUGAUGUGAAAUCCCCGGGCUCAACCUGGGAACUGCAUUGAUGACUGUAAUGCUAGAGUGUAGCAGAGGGGGGUAGAAUUCCACGUGUAGCGGUGAAAUGCGUAGA
RNAcentral lists this ribosomal RNA (691 nucleotides) under uncultured bacterium. RNAcentral describes it as "bacterial SSU rRNA". It matches the Rfam family "Bacterial small subunit ribosomal RNA", at positions 8 to 694 of the family's 1533-position model. The record is from RNAcentral.